Molecule: ribosomal RNA, 1444 nt
Filed under: uncultured organism
Description: SSU rRNA
Rfam family: Bacterial small subunit ribosomal RNA
Source: RNAcentral
GCUAGCUACAGGCUUAACACAUGCAAGUCGAGGGGCAGCAUGGUCUUAGCUUGCUAAGGCCGAUGGCGACCGGCGCACGGGUGAGUAACGCGUAUCCAACCUGCCUUACACUCUUGGACAGCCUUCUGAAAGGGAGAUUAAUACAAGAUGUUAUCAUGAGUAAGCAUUUUCGCAUGAUUAAAGGUUUACCGGUGUAAGAUGGGGAUGCGUUCCAUUAGAUAGUAGGCGGGGUAACGGCCCACCUAGUCUUCGAUGGAUAGGGGUUCUGAGAGGAAGGUCCCCCACAUUGGAACUGAGACACGGUCCAAACUCCUACGGGAGGCAGCAGUGAGGAAUAUUGGUCAAUGGACGAGAGUCUGAACCAGCCAAGUAGCGUGAAGGAUGAAGGUUCUAUGGAUUGUAAACUUCUUUUAUACGGGAAUAAACGAAUCCACGCGUGGAUUUUUGCAUGUACCGUAUGAAUAAGGAUCGGCUAACUCCGUGCCAGCAGCCGCGGUAAUACGGAGGAUCCGAGCGUUAUCCGGAUUUAUUGGGUUUAAAGGGAGCGUAGAUGGGUUGUUAAGUCAGUUGUGAAAGUUUGCGGCUCAACCGUAAAAUUGCAAUUGAUACUGGCAGUCUUGAGUACAGUUGAGGUAGGCGGAAUUCGUGGUGUAGCGGUGAAAUGCUUAGAUAUCACGAAGAACUCCGAUUGCGAAGGCAGCUUACUAACCUGUAACUGACAUUGAUGCUCGAAAGUGUGGGUAUCAAACAGGAUUAGAUACCCUGGUAGUCCACACGGUAAACGAUGAAUACUCGCUGUAGGCGAUAUACAGUCUGCGGCCAAGCGAAAGCAUUAAGUAUUCCACCUGGGGAGUACGCCGGCAACGGUGAAACUCAAAGGAAUUGACGGGGGCCCGCACAAGCGGAGGAACAUGUGGUCUAAUUCGAUGAUACGCGAGGAACCUUACCCGGGCUUAAAUUGCAACCGAAUAUGGCGGAAACGCUAUAGCUAGCAAUAGCGGUUGUGAAGGUGCUGCAUGGUUGUCGUCAGCUCGUGCCGUGAGGUGUCGGCUUAAGUGCCAUAACGAGCGCAACCCUUGCCGAUAGUUACUAACAGGUCAUGCUGAGGACUCUGUCGAGACUGCCAUCGUAAGAUGUGAGGAAGGUGGGGAUGACGUCAAAUCAGCACGGCCCUUACGUCCGGGGCUACACACGUGUUACAAUGGGGGGUACAGAGGGCUGCUACCACGCAAGUGGAUGCCAAUCCCAAAAACCUCUCUCAGUUCGGAUUGAAGUCUGCAACCCGACUUCAUGAAGCUGGAUUCGCUAGUAAUCGCGCAUCAGCCACGGCGCGGUGAAUACGUUCCCGGGCCUUGUACACACCGCCCGACAAGCCAUGGGAGCCGGGGGUACCUGAAGUGCGUAACCGCAAGGAGCGCCCUAGGGUAAAACUGGUGACUGGGGC